GAAUCUCGAUUCUCCCCUCCCGUCGGCUUUCUUCAACCUUUCUUCCCGGAGCGCCCCCCAAUCCACGAGUGGCAGCCGCGGGACUGUCGCGUCGGCGCCCGACGCCGGAGUCAGCGGGGCGCAAAAGCGCCGGACAUUUUGGCAGUUAGAUCAUGGCAACCAUAGAAGAAAUUGCACAUCAAAUUAUUGAACAACAGAUGGGAGAGAUUGUUACAGAGCAGCAAACUGGGCAGAAAAUCCAGAUUGUGACAGCACUUGAUCAUAAUACCCAAGGCAAGCAGUUCAUUCUGACAAAUCACGACGGCUCUACUCCAAGCAAAGUCAUUCUGGCCAGGCAAGAUUCCACUCCAGGAAAAGUUUUCCUUACAACUCCAGAUGCAGCAGGUGUCAACCAGUUAUUUUUUACCACUCCUGAUCUGUCUGCACAACACCUGCAGGACGUCAUUAUGGAGCAGUAACUUGUGAAGGCUGCAAAGGAUUUUUUAAAAGAAGCAUCCGAAAAAAUUUAGUAUAUUCAUGUCGAGGAUCAAAGGAUUGUAUUAUUAAUAAGCACCACCGCAACCGCUGUCAAUAC
This 574-nucleotide small RNA is filed under the name Pongo abelii (Sumatran orangutan). RNAcentral describes it as "processed transcript". The record is from RNAcentral. Lineage: Eukaryota; Metazoa; Chordata; Mammalia; Primates; Hominidae.